UACGAACGCUGGCGGCGUGCUUAACACAUGCAAGUCGAACGGAAAGGCCCUGCUUGCCGGGUACUCGAGUGGCGAACGGGUGAGUAACACGUGGGUGAUCUGCCCUGCACUUCGGGAUAAGCCUGGGAAACUGGGUCUAAUACCGGAUAGGAGCCAUUUUUAGUGUGAUGGUUGGAAAGUUUUUUCGGUGUAGGAUGAGCUCGCGGCCUAUCAGCUUGUUGGGGGGGUAAUGGCCUACCAAGGCGGCGACGGGUAGCCGGCCUGAGAGGGUGGACGGCCACAUUGGGACUGAGAGACGGCCCAGACUCCUACGGGAGGCAGCAGUGGGGAAUAUUGCACAAUGGGCGCAAGCCUGAUGCAGCGACGCCGCGGGGGGGAUGACGGCCUUCGGGUUGUAAACGCCUUUCGCUAGGGACGAAGCUUUUUGUGACGGUACCUAGAUAAGAAGCACCGGCUAACUACGUG
RNAcentral lists this ribosomal RNA (465 nucleotides) under uncultured bacterium. Its description in RNAcentral is "partial 16S ribosomal RNA". It matches the Rfam family "Bacterial small subunit ribosomal RNA", at positions 29 to 507 of the family's 1533-position model. The record is from RNAcentral.